This 464-nucleotide ribosomal RNA is filed under the name uncultured bacterium. RNAcentral describes it as "SSU rRNA". It matches the Rfam family "Bacterial small subunit ribosomal RNA", at positions 26 to 518 of the family's 1533-position model. The record is from RNAcentral.
AGGAUCAACGCUGGCGGCGUGCCUUACGCAUGCAAGUCGAACGGUCCCUUUCGGGGGACAGUGGCGGACGGGUGAGGAACACGUACGUGACCUAUCCCGCACAGGGGGAUACCCGCCCGAAAGGGUGGCUAAUACCGCAUACGCUCUUGGGGAUGCGUCCUUGAGAGGAAAGUUCUGGCGGUGUGGGAGGGCGUGCGGCCGAUUAGCUAGCUGGUGGGGUAACGGCCUACCAGGGCGACGAUCGGUAGCUGGUCUGAGAGGACGGCCAGCCACACGGGGACUGAGACACGGCCCCGACUCCUACGGGAGGCAGCAGCGAGGAAUCUUGGGCAAUGGGCGCAAGCCUGACCCAGCGACGCCGCGUGGAGGAUGAAGGCCCUCGGGUCGUAAACUCCUUUUGGGUGGGACGAAGAUCUGACGGUACCAUCCGAAUCAGCCCCGGCUAACUACGUGCCAGCAGCCGC